UCUCUUUCGUCAAUAGGAUAUACUUUUAGUUCCAACAUUUGUAAUUCCUCAAUUUAUACGUUUAGUUCUACUUGUCAAAACAUACAACAAACUAUGAUACUUGUAUUUACUAUGUGGAACAUGCUUUGAGAGGUAUGAGACAUUAGCAAUUGGGUAUAUUGGAGGUUUUUAAUCUUAAAAUGUUGUAUGAUGAGUGCAAUUGUUAAACAUUCUUUUGUUCUACACAAUUAUUUUGUUCUAAUUGUUGAAAUGUUUAAAGACUCUAUCUUUUAAAAU
Molecule: long non-coding RNA, 276 nt
Filed under: Medicago truncatula (barrel medic)
Lineage: Eukaryota; Viridiplantae; Streptophyta; Magnoliopsida; Fabales; Fabaceae
Description: long non-coding RNA (MTRU_LNC004030)
Source: RNAcentral